This 74-nucleotide transfer RNA is filed under the name Pseudanabaena sp. lw0831. It matches the Rfam family "tRNA". Rfam says of the family: Transfer RNA (tRNA) molecules are approximately 80 nucleotides in length. Lineage: Bacteria; Bacillati; Cyanobacteriota; Cyanophyceae; Pseudanabaenales; Pseudanabaenaceae. The record is from Rfam by way of RNAcentral.
CUCUUAGUAGCUCAGUUGGUAGUAGCGCCUGUUUGAAGAGCAGGAGGUCGUCAGUUCAAUUCUGACCUAAGGGG